RNAcentral lists this non-coding RNA (2058 nucleotides) under Pongo abelii (Sumatran orangutan). Lineage: Eukaryota; Metazoa; Chordata; Mammalia; Primates; Hominidae. The record is from RNAcentral.
ACUUUUCCACCCACCUGCCUCUGGGAGGGAGGAGCCGAGAAGCAGAGGACAGAAGCUCCCGGGCGGGGGUCAGGAGGAACCGCGAGAGGACUUGGCUGCCAGGAGAAGGCAAUUUCCUCAUUCUUGGAGAUGUUGUUGAGGAAGAGCAGGCGGCUGCACUUGCUCUGCACAGGACUCAGGCUCCCGGCCUUGGGGCUGAUGGAGAAGAUGCAAUUGUCCUGCACGCGCAUCUGGUGGAGCUCAGUGGGAUUCAACUCUGCUUGCUCUGCCCAGAGCUCCACGUCGAUCCGCUGGUCACUUGGAAAGAGGAAGGCCCUGGGAGAGGGGUGCAAAGCCAUACAAAGAAACUGGUCACGCAGAACAGAGAGGCAGGGGCUCUGAGAUCCUGAUGGGCAGGUGGAGGCUUCUUCCAUGACUCCUGCACUUCAUGCCCCCAUUUGGCAAACUGUCCCAUGUGUGCCUGAGCAAAUGUGGCUGUUGUGGAUUCUCGUUUCAUAAUGGCCCCAAAACCCAGGAAUAGACUCUGGGCCAUGGUGACUCAAGAAGUGAAGAGUGGGGCCUCCACUGUGUAUACCAGGAGUCAAGGUGUUGCUUGAAUAUGGGGGCCCCUUUAAGCUGGCCAUGAACCCUUCUGUGACAAAGCUCUUAGGAAAGGGCCAUUUGGGACACCUAGGAAGGCUGGCAGCACCAACCAGCAGCCCCAGGGAGUGGGGUGUCCAGGCCAACUUGGACACAGGGUGGAGAACAGAUGCCCCAGCAGGGCUGGCACUCUUGAAACAGAAGCAAGGCUGUGCACAGAGUUAAUGCCCCGACAUGCCUAGGACUGCGGUAAAGUAGAUAAUGCACCUUAAGUAGCCGACAAAACUAGUGACAAAGGGUCCUGAGGUCACAAUCUGAAAGAAGAACCCAUUUCACUCUUGGAGAUGGCACAGAACUGGUUCCAGCUGCAAACUGGGUAGAGGAUACAACAGGGAGCAUCCAGAAAAGGAAAAGAAAGUGCGCAACAUACACCUGAGAGAAAGUGUGCAACGCACACCUGAGAGAAAGCAUGCAACACACACCUGAGGAGAAUGUGCACAACACACACCUGAGAGGAAGAGCACAAUGCAUAUCUGAGAGAAAGCACGCAACACACACCUGAGGAGAAUGCAUGCAACACACACCUGAAAGAAAGUGCACAAUGCACACCUGAGAGAAAGCACACAACACACACCUGAGGAGAAUGCAUGCAACACACAUCUGAGAGGAAGCACACAAUGCACACCUGAGAGAAAGCACACAACACACACCUGAGGAGAAUGCACACAACACAUACCUGAGAGAAAGCACACAAAGCACACCUGAGAGAAAAUGCACAACACACACCUGAGGAGAAUGCAGGCAACACACACCUGAGAGGAAGCGCACAACACACACCUGAGGACACCUCAGGACCUGAGGAGAAUGCACGCAACACACACCUGAGAGGAAGUGCGCAACACACACCUGAGGAGAAUGCGCGCAACACACACCUGAGAGAAAGCAUGCAACACACACCUGAGAGGAAGUGCGCAACACACACCUGAGGAGAAUGUGCACAACACACACCUGAAGAGAAUGCGUGCAACACACACCUGAGAGAAAGCACACAACACACACUUGAGGAGAAUGUGUGUGACACACACCUGAGAGAAAGCACGCAACACACACCUGAGAGAAAGUGCAACACGCACCUGAGAGAAAGUGCAACACGCACCUGAGAGAAAGUGCAACACGCACCUGAAAGAAAGUGCAACACGCACCUGGAAGCCUCAGUGGGAGUCAGGGAGGCCUAAGUCCAAACUCUCAGAAGGAACCAGUCUUAAAUUUUUUCACAUCUGAAGCAUGAAAAAUAGUAACAUUCAACACUGGCAGGUUUAGAAAGAACAGACUCAAACAGAGGUGGAUGGAGAGGGAACUGCUCAACCUCUUGGAUGGAAUUUUGGCAGCAUAUGCCCUUUGACCCAGAAGUCUCUGUUUGGGAAACCAAUUUGUCGGAAUAAAAGCACAUAUGUGUGCAUGCAUAUGUGCACGCAACGC